This 631-nucleotide ribosomal RNA is filed under the name Mycobacterium sp. So1Pw_1061. RNAcentral's name for it is "bacterial SSU rRNA". It matches the Rfam family "Bacterial small subunit ribosomal RNA", at positions 383 to 1024 of the family's 1533-position model. Lineage: Bacteria; Bacillati; Actinomycetota; Actinomycetes; Mycobacteriales; Mycobacteriaceae. The record is from RNAcentral.
CUGAUGCAGCGACGCCGCGUGAGGGAUGACGGCCUUCGGGUUGUAAACCUCUUUCAGCAGGGACGAAGCGCAAGUGACGGUACCUGUAGAAGAAGGACCGGCCAACUACGUGCCAGCAGCCGCGGUAAUACGUAGGGUCCGAGCGUUGUCCGGAAUUACUGGGCGUAAAGAGCUCGUAGGUGGUUUGUCGCGUUGUUCGUGAAAACUCACAGCUCAACUGUGGGCGUGCGGGCGAUACGGGCAGACUUGAGUACUGCAGGGGAGACUGGAAUUCCUGGUGUAGCGGUGGAAUGCGCAGAUAUCAGGAGGAACACCGGUGGCGAAGGCGGGUCUCUGGGCAGUAACUGACGCUGAGGAGCGAAAGCGUGGGGAGCGAACAGGAUUAGAUACCCUGGUAGUCCACGCCGUAAACGGUGGGUACUAGGUGUGGGUUUCCUUCCUUGGGAUCCGUGCCGUAGCUAACGCAUUAAGUACCCCGCCUGGGGAGUACGGCCGCAAGGCUAAAACUCAAAGAAAUUGACGGGGGCCCGCACAAGCGGCGGAGCAUGUGGAUUAAUUCGAUGCAACGCGAAGAACCUUACCUGGGUUUGACAUGCACAGGACGCCGGCAGAGAUGUCGGUUCCCUUGUGG